This 254-nucleotide ribosomal RNA is filed under the name uncultured bacterium. RNAcentral describes it as "partial 16S ribosomal RNA". It matches the Rfam family "Bacterial small subunit ribosomal RNA", at positions 524 to 776 of the family's 1533-position model. The record is from RNAcentral.
UACGUAGGGGGCUAGCGUUGUCCGGAUUUAUUGGGCGUAAAGAGCUCGUAGGUGGUUCGGUAAGUCGGAUGUGAAAUCUCCAGGCUCAACCUGGAGGGGUCAUUCGAUACUGCCGUGACUAGAGGUCGGUAGGGGAGUGUGGAAUUCCUGGUGGAGCGGUGAAAUGCGCAGAUAUCAGGAGGAACACCGGUGGCGAAGGCGGGAUCCUGGGCCAGUACUGACGCUGAGGAGCGAAAGCGUGGGGAGCAAACAGG